CAGGAUGAACGCUGGCGGCGUGCCUAAUACAUGCAAGUCGAGCGAACGGACGAGAAGCUUGCUUCUCUGAUGUUAGCGGCGGACGGGUGAGUAACACGUGGAUAACCUACCUAUAAGACUGGGAUAACUUCGGGAAACCGGAGCUAAUACCGGAUAAUAUUUUGAACCGCAUGGUUCAAAAGUGAAAGACGGUCUUGCUGUCACUUAUAGAUGGAUCCGCGCUGCAUUAGCUAGUUGGUAAGGUAACGGCUUACCAAGGCAACGAUGCAUAGCCGACCUGAGAGGGUGAUCGGCCACACUGGAACUGAGACACGGUCCAGACUCCUACGGGAGGCAGCAGUAGGGAAUCUUCCGCAAUGGGCGAAAGCCUGACGGAGCAACGCCGCGUGAGUGAUGAAGGUCUUCGGAUCGUAAAACUCUGUUAUUAGGGAAGAACAUAUGUGUAAGUAACUGUGCACAUCUUGACGGUACCUAAUCAGAAAGCCACGGCUAACUACGUG
RNAcentral lists this ribosomal RNA (500 nucleotides) under uncultured bacterium. RNAcentral describes it as "partial 16S ribosomal RNA". It matches the Rfam family "Bacterial small subunit ribosomal RNA", at positions 25 to 507 of the family's 1533-position model. The record is from RNAcentral.